RNAcentral lists this ribosomal RNA (794 nucleotides) under uncultured fungus. RNAcentral's name for it is "eukaryotic LSU rRNA". The stretch from base 1 to 241 matches the Rfam family "Eukaryotic small subunit ribosomal RNA", at positions 1593 to 1831 of the family's 1831-position model. The record is from RNAcentral. Lineage: Eukaryota; Fungi.
UUGCUCUUCAACGAGGAAUGCCUAGUAAGCGCGUGUCAUCAGCAUGCGCUGAUUACGUCCCUGCCCUUUGUACACACCGCCCGUCGCUACUACCGAUUGAAUGGCUCAGUGAGGCAUUCGGACUGGCUCGGGGAGGUUGGCAACGACCACCCCGAGCCGGAAAGUUCUCCAAACUCGGUCAUUUAGAGGAAGUAAAAGUCGUAACAAGGUUUCCGUAGGUGAACCUGCGGAAGGAUCAUUAAACGCUACGCCACAGGGGCCGGGGGAGAGUCGCAGAUCCUCGCGAUCGGCGCUUCUUCUCGCCCUGUCGGAAUACUACCCAUGAUUUUUGCGCACCCAUUGUUUCCUCGGCAGGCCUGCCUGCCAAGAGGACCCCUCUAAAACCAUUUGCAGUUGCAGUCAGCGUCAGAAAAACGUAAUUAUCACAACUUUCAACAACGGAUCUCUUGGUUCUGGCAUCGAUGAAGAACGCAGCGAAAUGCGAUAAGUAGUGUGAAUUGCAGAAUUCAGUGAAUCAUCGAAUCUUUGAACGCACAUUGCGCCUCUUGGUAUUCCAUGAGGCAUGCCUGUUCGAGCGUCAUUUGUACCCUCAAGCCUUGCUUGGUGUUGGGCGGUUGUUCCGCUGCGCGCGCGAACUCGCCUCAAAUCUAUUGGCAGCCGGCGAUGUGGCGUCUGAGCGCAGCACAUUUUGCGCGCAGCGCCGCGUCGUGGCGUCCACGAAGCCUACUCUAUACGCUUGACCUCGGAUCAGGUAGGGAUACCCGCUGAACUUAAGCAUAUCAAUAAGCGGAGGA